Molecule: ribosomal RNA, 244 nt
Filed under: uncultured bacterium
Lineage: Bacteria
Description: partial 16S ribosomal RNA
Rfam family: Bacterial small subunit ribosomal RNA
Source: RNAcentral
CGUGGGUAACCUGCCCAAGAGACUGGGAUAACACCUGGAAACAGAUGCUAAUACCGGAUAACAACACUAGACGCAUGUCUAGAGUUUAAAAGAUGGUUCUGCUAUCACUCUUGGAUGGACCUGCGGUGCAUUAGCUAGUUGGUAAGGUAACGGCUUACCAAGGCAAUGAUGCAUAGCCGAGUUGAGAGACUGAUCGGCCACAUUGGGACUGAGACACGGCCCAAACUCCUACGGGAGGCAGCAG